GGACAGGUGGUAGCUCAAUGGGUAGAGCAUUGGCUUGGCACGCAGAAGGUCCCAGGUUCAAUCCUGGCUUCUCCA
Non-coding RNA from Podarcis lilfordi (Lilford's wall lizard), 75 nucleotides. The record is from the annotation of a GenBank genome assembly. NCBI's taxonomy places the organism in Eukaryota, Metazoa, Chordata, Lepidosauria, Squamata, Lacertidae.